RNAcentral lists this ribosomal RNA (1365 nucleotides) under Salmonella enterica. RNAcentral's name for it is "bacterial LSU rRNA". It matches the Rfam family "Bacterial large subunit ribosomal RNA", at positions 1587 to 2925 of the family's 2925-position model. RNAcentral also lists the same sequence under 1 other name. Lineage: Bacteria; Pseudomonadati; Pseudomonadota; Gammaproteobacteria; Enterobacterales; Enterobacteriaceae. The record is from RNAcentral.
GAAGCAACAAAUGCCCUGCUUCCAGGAAAAGCCUCUAAGCAUCAGGUAACAUCAAAUCGUACCCCAAACCGACACAGGUGGUCAGGUAGAGAAUACCAAGGCGCUUGAGAGAACUCGGGUGAAGGAACUAGGCAAAAUGGUGCCGUAACUUCGGGAGAAGGCACGCUGACACGUAGGUGAAGUGAUUUACUCAUGGAGCUGAAGUCAGUCGAAGAUACCAGCUGGCUGCAACUGUUUAUUAAAAACACAGCACUGUGCAAACACGAAAGUGGACGUAUACGGUGUGACGCCUGCCCGGUGCCGGAAGGUUAAUUGAUGGGGUCAGCGCAAGCGAAGCUCCUGAUCGAAGCCCCGGUAAACGGCGGCCGUAACUAUAACGGUCCUAAGGUAGCGAAAUUCCUUGUCGGGUAAGUUCCGACCUGCACGAAUGGCGUAAUGAUGGCCAGGCUGUCUCCACCCGAGACUCAGUGAAAUUGAACUCGCUGUGAAGAUGCAGUGUACCCGCGGCAAGACGGAAAGACCCCGUGAACCUUUACUAUAGCUUGACACUGAACAUUGAGCCUUGAUGUGUAGGAUAGGUGGGAGGCUUUGAAGUGUGGACGCCAGUCUGCAUGGAGCCGGCCUUGAAAUACCACCCUUUAAUGUUUGAUGUUCUAACGUGGACCCGUGAUCCGGGUUGCGGACAGUGUCUGGUGGGUAGUUUGACUGGGGCGGUCUCCUCCUAAAGAGUAACGGAGGAGCACGAAGGUUGGCUAAUCCUGGUCGGACAUCAGGAGGUUAGUGCAAUGGCAUAAGCCAGCUUGACUGCGAGCGUGACGGCGCGAGCAGGUGCGAAAGCAGGUCAUAGUGAUCCGGUGGUUCUGAAUGGAAGGGCCAUCGCUCAACGGAUAAAAGGUACUCCGGGGAUAACAGGCUGAUACCGCCCAAGAGUUCAUAUCGACGGCGGUGUUUGGCACCUCGAUGUCGGCUCAUCACAUCCUGGGGCUGAAGUAGGUCCCAAGGGUAUGGCUGUUCGCCAUUUAAAGUGGUACGCGAGCUGGGUUUAGAACGUCGUGAGACAGUUCGGUCCCUAUCUGCCGUGGGCGCUGGAGAACUGAGGGGGGCUGCUCCUAGUACGAGAGGACCGGAGUGGACGCAUCACUGGUGUUCGGGUUGUCAUGCCAAUGGCACUGCCCGGUAGCUAAAUGCGGAAGAGAUAAGUGCUGAAAGCAUCUAAGCACGAAACUUGCCCCGAGAUGAGUUCUCCCUGAGACUUUAGGUCUCCUGAAGGAACGUUGAAGACGACGACGUUGAUAGGCCGGGUGUGUAAGCGCAGCGAUGCGUUGAGCUAACCGGUACUAAUGAACCGUGAGGCUUAACCUUACA